AUUGAACGCUGGCGGCAUGCUUUACACAUGCAAGUCGAACGGUAACAGCACUUCGGUGGCUGACGAGUGGCGAACGGGUGAGUAAUACAUCGGAACGUGCCUAGUAGUGGGGGAUAACUACUCGAAAGAGUAGCUAAUACCGCAUGAGAUCUAAGGAUGAAAGCAGGGGACCUUCGGGCCUUGCGCUACUAGAGCGGCUGAUGGCAGAUUAGGUAGUUGGUGGGAUAAAAGCUUACCAAGCCGACGAUCUGUAGCUGGUCUGAGAGGACGACCAGCCACACUGGGACUGAGACACGGCCCAGACUCCUACGGGAGGCAGCAGUGGGGAAUUUUGGACAAUGGGCGCAAGCCUGAUCCAGCAAGGCCGCGUGCAGGAUGAAGGCCUUCGGGUUGUAAACUGCUUUUGUACGGAACGAAAAGCCCUCUUCUAAUACAGGAGGGUCAUGACGGUACCGUAAGAAUAAGCACCGGCUAACUACGUG
RNAcentral lists this ribosomal RNA (482 nucleotides) under uncultured bacterium. Its description in RNAcentral is "partial 16S ribosomal RNA". It matches the Rfam family "Bacterial small subunit ribosomal RNA", at positions 30 to 507 of the family's 1533-position model. The record is from RNAcentral.